GAAAUGCGAUAAUUAGUGUGAAUUGCGGAAUUCAGUGAAUCAUCGAGGCUUUGAACGCACAUUGCACCCCCGUGUAUUCCGGGGGGUGUGCCUGUGCGAGCGUCGUUGCUGCCCUCAAGCACGGCUUGUGUGUUGGGUCGACGUCCCCCCCCAGGGGGACGGGCCCGAAAGGCAGCGGCGGCACCGCGUCCGGUCCUCGAGCGUAUGGGGCUUUGUCACCCGCUCUUGUAGGCCCGGCCGGCUGCUGGCCGACGCUCAAAAGCAACCAACUAUUUUUCCAGGUUGACCUCGGAUCAGGUAGGGAUACCCGCUGAACUUAA
RNAcentral lists this unclassified non-coding RNA (320 nucleotides) under uncultured Aspergillus. RNAcentral's name for it is "sequence contains ITS1". The stretch from base 1 to 105 matches the Rfam family "5.8S ribosomal RNA", at positions 50 to 154 of the family's 154-position model. The record is from RNAcentral. Lineage: Eukaryota; Fungi; Ascomycota; Eurotiomycetes; Eurotiales; Aspergillaceae.